This 408-nucleotide ribosomal RNA is filed under the name uncultured bacterium. RNAcentral's name for it is "partial 16S ribosomal RNA". It matches the Rfam family "Bacterial small subunit ribosomal RNA", at positions 28 to 526 of the family's 1533-position model. The record is from RNAcentral.
GACGAACGCUGGCGGCGUGCUUAACACAUGCAAGUCGAACGAAGUGGCGAACGGGUGAGUAACGCGUAAUCAACCUGCCCUUCAGAGGGGGACAACAGUUGGAAACGACUGCUAAUACCGAAUACUGAAGGAGGGGAUUGCGUCUGAUUAGCUAGUUGGAGGGGUAACGGCCCACCAAGGCGAUGAUCAGUAGCCGGUCCGGGAGGAUGAACGGCCACCUUGUGACCUAGACAAGGUCCAGACUCCUACGGGGGGCAGCAGUGGGGAAUCUUCCGCAAUGGACGAAAGUCUGACGGAGCAACGCCGCGUGAGGGAUGACGGCCUUCGGGUUGUAAAGCUCUGUUAAUCGGGACGCGGUACCGGAAUAGAAAGCCACGGCUAAAGACGUGCCAGCAGACGCGGUAAUAC